CUUACAGCACAGUUGCUUAACUUUAGAUGUUCUUGUCUUCUGCUCUGUUAAUUGAACGUUAAUCACACACAGGAGGCUGUUGUUGUCUAUAGUACGAUAUUAAGGGGAUACUAUAGGCACAUAGACCAUGAAAUUUCAAUGCGUUGUUUUGAGUGUCAUGUUUGCACCACCCUGUUUUAAUCCCGCAAGUAAAAACAUUGCCGUUCAGCAGAAUGCCUCUAGUGGCUGUCACCCAGACACUACUUUGCGCACUAGUCUCACAAUAUUUUCUUAAGGUAAAACACUGGAUUGGCUGAGAUAACCCACCAAGGAGAUGGAACGGCAGCGAGGAGACCAGCACUGCCAAGGAGAAAAGGAUAAGUCCAAUUGCUUUUUUUAAAUCCCUAUAGGUGGAUGUCAAUAACCUAACCGGCCAGCAAGGUACUAUAGCAUUAGAAAUACACAUUUGUAUUCCUUACGUUACAGUGUUCCUUUAGCAAAGCAGAAAAUGAGAAACAAACAUUUCAGGAAGUGUGUAGGGAGGCUGUGUGAGUCUCAGCCAUGUGAGAUGUGUCUAGGGCUGAAUAAACAAAGUGAUUUAAGUACUAAAUGGAAGAGAAUUGAACAGUGAGAUUGCAGGGGCAUGAACUAUACACCAACACCACUUUAUGAUGUUAAAGUUGUUUUGGUCCUUCAAGUUGUGGUGACAUUCUGUCAUCAAACUAAUAUGGUGACCAGGGGUCAUGUGACCAAGCUUACAGUGGGAUAAGCUUUACCCUUUUGAAAUGGUAAUUGGGUAAUUCAAUACCUUUACAAGUCAGGAGAGAGAUAACCACUUCCCCCUUUCUCCAUUCCUCUCUGUUCCUUCUUGGCUGUGCUGCAGAGCAGAUGUGCAGACGCCAUGUGCUAGCAUGGUGAACCAUGUUACUCUCUGUUGCUUCCUUUUCUUCCUUGGUGGAUGUGAUGUUGAACUUGCAGCAGUGAGUCAUUACUAGAUAUGAAGGCCUAACCGUGGG
This is a non-coding RNA of Pelobates cultripes (western spadefoot toad), 995 nucleotides long. The record is from the annotation of a GenBank genome assembly. Lineage: Eukaryota; Metazoa; Chordata; Amphibia; Anura; Pelobatidae.